This is a non-coding RNA of Desmophyllum pertusum, 73 nucleotides long. NCBI's taxonomy places the organism in Eukaryota, Metazoa, Cnidaria, Anthozoa, Scleractinia, Caryophylliidae. The record is from the annotation of a GenBank genome assembly.
UCUCCUGUAGCUCAGUGGUAGAGCAUCCAACCGGUCUGCAGAAGGUCAUUGGUUCAACCUCAUGUUGGGAGAA